Molecule: ribosomal RNA, 424 nt
Filed under: Verrucomicrobiota bacterium
Lineage: Bacteria; Pseudomonadati; Verrucomicrobiota
Description: Verrucomicrobia bacterium partial 16S ribosomal RNA
Rfam family: Bacterial small subunit ribosomal RNA
Source: RNAcentral
UGAGGAAUAUUGGUCAAUGGACGAGAGUCUGAACCAGCCAAGUAGCGUGCAGGAUGACGGCCCUAUGGGUUGUAAACUGCUUUUGUUUGGGAAUAAUCGACAUUACGUGUAAUGUUUUGCAUGUACCAUUCGAAUAAGGACCGGCUAAUUCCGUGCCAGCAGCCGCGGUAAUACGGAAGGUCCAGGCGUUAUCCGGAUUUAUUGGGUUUAAAGGGAGCGUAGGCGGUUGGUUAAGCGUGUUGUGAAAUGUAGAUGCUCAACAUCUGACUUGCAGCGCGAACUGGCUGACUUGAGUACACACAACGUAGGCGGAAUUCAUGGUGUAGCGGUGAAAUGCUUAGAUAUCAUGAAGAACUCCGAUUGCGAAGGCAGCUUACGGGAGCGCAACUGACGCUGAAGCUCGAAGGUGCGGGUAUCGAACAGG